RNAcentral lists this ribosomal RNA (497 nucleotides) under uncultured bacterium. RNAcentral describes it as "partial 16S ribosomal RNA". It matches the Rfam family "Bacterial small subunit ribosomal RNA", at positions 28 to 507 of the family's 1533-position model. The record is from RNAcentral.
GAUGAACGCUGGCGGCGUGCCUAAUACAUGCAAGUCGAGCGAACGGACGAGAAGCUUGCUUCUCUGAUGUUAGCGGCGGACGGGUGAGUAACACGUGGAUAACCUACCUAUAAGACUGGGAUAACUUCGGGAAACCGGAGCUAAUACCGGAUAAUAUUUUGAACCGCAUGGUUCAAAAGUGAAAGACGGUCUUGCUGUCACUUAUAGAUGGAUCCGCGCUGCAUUAGCUAGUUGGUAAGGUAACGGCUUACCAAGGCAACGAUGCAUAGCCGACCUGAGAGGGUGAUAGGCCACACUAGAACUGAGACACGGUCCAGACUCCUACGGGAGGCAGCAGUAGGGAAUCUUCCGCAGCGGGCGAAAACCUGACGGAGCAACGCCGCGUGAGUGAUGAAGGUCUUCGGAUCGUAAAACUCUGUUAUUAGGGAAGAACAUAUGUGUAAGUAACUGUGCACAUCUUGACGGUACCUAAUCAGAAAGCCACGGCUAACUACGUG